UUAGCCUACGGGGGGCAGCAGUGAGGAAUAUUGGUCAAUGGGCUUACGCCUGAACCAGCCAAGUCGCGUGAGGGAAGACUGCCCUAUGGGUUGUAAACCUCUUUUGUCAGGGAGCAACGCCGGCUACGUGUAGCCGGACUGAGAGUACCUGAAGAAAAAGCAUCGGCUAACUCCGUGCCAGCAGCCGCGGUAAUACGUAGGUGGCAAGCGUUGUCCGGAUUUACUGGGUGUAAAGGGCGUGUAGCCGGGCUGACAAGUCAGAUGUGAAAUCCGGGGGCUCAACCCCCGAACUGCAUUUGAAACUG
RNAcentral lists this ribosomal RNA (305 nucleotides) under uncultured bacterium. Its description in RNAcentral is "bacterial SSU rRNA". It matches the Rfam family "Bacterial small subunit ribosomal RNA", at positions 334 to 635 of the family's 1533-position model. The record is from RNAcentral.